This 369-nucleotide ribosomal RNA is filed under the name uncultured organism. Its description in RNAcentral is "partial 16S ribosomal RNA". It matches the Rfam family "Bacterial small subunit ribosomal RNA", at positions 527 to 896 of the family's 1533-position model. The record is from RNAcentral.
GGAGGGUGCAAGCGUUAUCCGGAUUUAUUGGGUUUAAAGGGUCCGUAGGCGGAUGUGUAAGUCAGUGGUGAAAUCUCGCAGCUUAACUGCGAAACUGCCAUUGAUACUGCAUGUCUUGAGUAAAUUUGAAGUGGCUGGAAUAAGUAGUGUAGCGGUGAAAUGCAUAGAUAUUACUUAGAACACCAAUUGCGAAGGCAGGUCACUAAGAUUUAACUGACGCUGAUGGACGAAAGCGUGGGGGGAGCGAACAGGAUUAGAUACCCUGGUAGUCCACGCCCGUAAACGAUGCUAACUCGUUUUUUGUGCUUCGGCAUGAGAGACUAAGCGAAAGUGAUAAGUUAGCCACCUGGGAGUACGUUCGCAAGAAUG